AUAUAAUAUUUUCAAUCAAUGUCAAAAUUAAAAUUAUACAAUAUGAGACUUAAUCCAAAUAAUAGGGUUGUCAAUUGAUAACAUUCUAAAUAGGUACAUAUUUAUAUUUUGCAUACAUAAUAUGUGUGUGUGUGUGUGUACGUGUGUGUGUGUGUGUGUGUGUUCAAACAAAUUGCUACUAAUCAUAACACAAAAUAUUACACCGGAUGAAAAAAAUAAUAACCGUUACUAAAAUUAUUGCAAACUGAACGACCUUUUUAUGUAUUGUUACAGGUAUAAAUACGACGUCUACGCUAAAACGAGUCCGGAUCUACGGGAACAACGAAAACAUUUAUACACGAAAAAUUGGUCCAUUUAAACAUCCAUAAAUAUCUAAAAAUAAAAUAUUUUAUACCCAUAGUGUUUCGUUUGUUAAUUUUCAUUACAUUUUCCAACCGCUUGAUCGACGAACAAUCUUUUACAAUAUUGUUUGUUUUUUGUUUUUGUUUUUUUUUUUUUUUGUUUUUUUUUUUACGUUUUUCUACAUAACAUUUAUUAUAUUAUCAUCAUGCUCGGUUAUUAUAGGAAUCAAUAGUAAUAAUAAUAAUAAUAAUUAAUAAUUAUACAUGUAUAUAUAUAUAUAUAUAUAUAUAUUGGUUUUGUUUUUCUGUUUAUGUAAUCUACAACAACACUUUUUUUUUUUUUUUUUUUUUUUAAAGCGAAAAUUCAUUGGAAUAUUAUGCGACUAAACUAAAAUAGCGUUAAAAUAAUAAUAGUAAUUGUAUAU
This is a non-coding RNA of Cinara cedri, 766 nucleotides long. NCBI's taxonomy places the organism in Eukaryota, Metazoa, Arthropoda, Insecta, Hemiptera, Aphididae. The record is from the annotation of a GenBank genome assembly.